Molecule: long non-coding RNA, 711 nt
Organism: Pan paniscus (pygmy chimpanzee)
Lineage: Eukaryota; Metazoa; Chordata; Mammalia; Primates; Hominidae
Source: Ensembl
CUUGGGACUCCAGGUCAGCCCAUGACACUGCAGCCCUGUCCUACAGGAAGAUUCCCGUUUUGUCUGACAUGGUUUUCAAUAUCAUAAACGUUUGUACUGCAGUCACUGCUGUUUAACAUCAGUGACAGGUUACAUUUCCAUUAUGGUGUAAUAGCAUAUCCAGGUCAUAUCUGAAGAUAAAUGAUGGACACAAUUCUGAAGCAUAGAACAAGCUGCACAUUCAAAACUUGAGAACCACACUCUUCGUACACACCAGCCAGAGGUGGCCCUUAUCCUCCUCCCCAUUCUAGUUGGAGCAGGAAGAUCUAUCAGGCUGAGUGAAGUCACUGGUCUCAACUCCUACCUGUUCAGAACUUUCCAGGAGACUAGCUGGCUAAUGCAAUUUUAUUUCACAAGAAGGAGUGUCCACUUGAACACGGAGUUGGGGGGCUCACCGUCUACACCGUAUCAGGAGACAUAACUCACAAGAGAGACAAACUAAGACAGAAACGGCCAGGUCUCUUGGCUGAAGCAGGAGGUGCCAGGGCCUCCUUCCUAACAGGGACCCUGACCAGGCUGGCAGUUGUUCAAGUCACUCAGGAACCAUGAGCUGUUACGGGGAGAUCACUACCUAUGCCCCAGCUUUGCUUAUUUACACUGAAAACAACAUGACCAAACAACCUACAGCUCCUCCCAAAAGACGUGGGAUGAACCUUAGAAUGAACAAUAAGA